Molecule: long non-coding RNA, 502 nt
Organism: Phacochoerus africanus (Common warthog)
Lineage: Eukaryota; Metazoa; Chordata; Mammalia; Artiodactyla; Suidae
Exons: 3
Source: RefSeq, a predicted model, not a curated record
GUGUGUCUCCUUGGACAAUUCGUUUCCGAGCGUUAGACAAGAGCCUAUUCUUAGGCCCUGAAUGGGGUCCCUCUUCCUGCAAGAAAACUUGAGUGCAGAUCACUAGGUUUGCUGAAGGAGGAACACACAAGGCCGAGUCCCAGGUGGUGUCCAGUGCUUCGGGUCCGAGGAUCGUACCUUGAGUAGCAAGGAGGAAGCGUAGAGGCAUCAGACAGACCUGAGCUUGAUACCCAGAUCUGCCACCUCCUCACCCACCUGCUCAUCUGCUGAAGAUUGCUGGGCCUUCAUCCCCGCCUCCCUGUAGGCUGAAAAUGGAAAUUGCACCCUGUGAGGUGGCUUUGAGGACAGCAUGAGAUGAGGAAAAUGGAGCCAGAGAGAUUGACACCAGAGGUCAUUCAGCUGGUCAGUAGCUGGGCAAGUACAUUUGCUUUUCCUAGGAGGCUAGACAUUUGAAGACUCUUCAAAGGGUAUUCAGGCCACAGAGCUUUAGACCAUCCGCACC